CCUACGGGAGGCAGCAGUAGGGAAUCUUCCACAAUGGGCGAAAGCCUGAUGGAGCAACGCCGCGUGGGUGAAGAAGGUCUUCGGAACGUAAAACCCUGGUGUUAGAGAAGAAAGUGCGUGAGAGUAACUGUUCACGUGUUGACGGUAUCUAACAAGAAAGCCACGGCUAACUACGUGCCAGCAGUCGCGGUAAUACGUAGGGGGCAAGCGUUAUCCGGAUUGAUUGGGCGUAAAGGGAACGAGGGCGGUCGUUUAAGUCUGAGGUGAAAGCCUUCGGCUUACCCGGGGGAGUGCAUUGGAAACUGGGAGCCUUGAGUUCAGAAGAGGCGAGUGGAACUCCAUGUGUAGCGGUGAAAUGCGUAGAUAUAUGG
RNAcentral lists this ribosomal RNA (371 nucleotides) under uncultured bacterium. Its description in RNAcentral is "partial 16S ribosomal RNA". It matches the Rfam family "Bacterial small subunit ribosomal RNA", at positions 338 to 701 of the family's 1533-position model. The record is from RNAcentral.